CCGUUGCCGGUCGGAAAUGGCCGCCGGCCGGCAGGGGGAGCGGAGGAUUCGGCGCGGCCUGGGAGGCGCGCAGCCGGCAGCCAGAGCGGCUUGUGGGAAGCGGAGUUUUGGGCAGGAGACGGCGAUGGCUCGUCUCUGACUGGAAGCUGCCAGGAGAGCAAGCUCUGGUGUCAACUACUAUAAGAAAUUGUAUAUUGAAGCAUAAUGCUACUACAUAAGGCAGAGAGAGGAAGAACGCUGCCCAGUAAGGCCUGAUUGUCAAUAGUGACGUGGAGGACGGGGCUGGCAUCUCAAGCUGCCAGCUGUUUUUACCAGCCGCUGUUUAACUUGGAUAGAAGCGAUGCAUACUGGCUGGUCAACAAGGCCAAGGAACAAAAGCUAUGGCAGUUAAAACGGUCCCUCCGAGCCCAGGGCCCUGUCCCUGGGUUUUAACACCAUGGAUCUCUUCUUUUCCGUCCCAUCAGCAAUGUGGUACCUCCUUC
This is a long non-coding RNA of Arvicola amphibius (Eurasian water vole), 482 nucleotides long. RefSeq lists it as uncharacterized. The record is from RefSeq and is a predicted model, not a curated record. The transcript has 3 exons. Lineage: Eukaryota; Metazoa; Chordata; Mammalia; Rodentia; Cricetidae.